CGGAAAGGGAAAGGCUUAGUGGCGGACGGGUGAGUAACGCGUGGGUAACCUGGCCCAUACAGGGGGAUAACACUUAGAAAUAGGUGCUAAUACCGCAUAACAACAGAAAGCGCAUGCGUUUUUGUUUGAAAACCAAGGUGGUAUGGGAUGGACCCGCGUCUGAUUAGCUGGUUGGCGGGGUAAAGGCCCACCAAGGCGACGAUCAGUAGCCGGCCUGAGAGGGUGGACGGCCACAUUGGGACUGAGACACGGCCCAAACUCCUACGGGAGGCAGCAG
This 277-nucleotide ribosomal RNA is filed under the name uncultured bacterium. Its description in RNAcentral is "partial 16S ribosomal RNA". It matches the Rfam family "Bacterial small subunit ribosomal RNA", at positions 77 to 354 of the family's 1533-position model. The record is from RNAcentral.